GGCUUCCAGAGAGAGAGAGAGAGAGAGAGAGAGUGGGAGAGAGCGAGAGAGCGUCGGGAAGGGUGAGGAGCGGCGGUGAGGGCUGAAGGGGGUCCGCUAGGCAAAUGAGGGGAGAGAGGCUGCCGGGAGCGAGGGGAACCGCCGGCCGCCUCCACCGCUGCGCCGGGUCUCGUUUUCUUUCCUUGGGAGACGCCAUAAAAAUGCUGGAGAAAAAUCGUCAAUAAAAGAGCGUCUUAGGGAAGCAUGUCAGACCGGGGUGGCUGAUAAAAAUUUCAUCCUAGUUUAUGGGUCGCUUUCCUCGUUCUCGGUUGUCUUUCUGGAUGUGUUUGUGCCCGACGCAGCUCCGCCAACACCUGCAGACCGCCGGGAUGGGGACUCGCGGCGCCCAGAGCAAGAUGGCCACCCCCGCCCCUGGACCCCUCCCCCAGACCACCCCCGAGGACGGCCCUUCCCGGCGACGCUCCCUGACACGAGAUGGUCCUGGCGUUCUUGCAAGGUACGUUCCCGCGACUGUUCUUUUUAUUUUUGUUGCUGUUGUUUGUGCUUUCUUUUUAUCUUUAGUGGUAAUUACCUUCGUUCCCCUCAUUUAGUUUGCAGGCCUUGCCCCCCUCUUACCCUCCCUGCCUCCGCUCUCCUUAUCUCCCCCCCCACCCCUCCUUGGCGUCAUUGAACUUUCCGAGGUGCACUUAGCUUGAA
This is a long non-coding RNA of Eriocheir sinensis (Chinese mitten crab), 696 nucleotides long. RefSeq lists it as uncharacterized. The transcript has 3 exons. The record is from RefSeq and is a predicted model, not a curated record. NCBI's taxonomy places the organism in Eukaryota, Metazoa, Arthropoda, Malacostraca, Decapoda, Varunidae.